This is a non-coding RNA of Hordeum vulgare subsp. vulgare (domesticated barley), 136 nucleotides long. The record is from Rfam. NCBI's taxonomy places the organism in Eukaryota, Viridiplantae, Streptophyta, Magnoliopsida, Poales, Poaceae.
CCUAUACUCCCUCCGUCCCAAAAUUCUUGUCUUAGGCUUGUCUAGAAAUGGAUGUUUCUAAAUACUAAAGCGUGACUAGAUACAUUCAUAUCUAAACAAAUGUAAGACAAGAAUUUUGGUACGGAGGGAUUAUUUA